RNAcentral lists this transfer RNA (76 nucleotides) under compost metagenome. RNAcentral describes it as "tRNA-Gly". It matches the Rfam family "tRNA". From Rfam's summary of the family: Transfer RNA (tRNA) molecules are approximately 80 nucleotides in length. Their secondary structure includes four short double-helical elements and three loops (D, anti-codon, and T loops). The record is from RNAcentral.
GCGGGAAUAGCUCAGUUGGUAGAGCAUAACCUUGCCAAGGCUGGGGUCGCGAGUUCGAGUCUCGUUUCCCGCUCCA